UUCUAAGGCUGCUAUUUUUUUAGUUGCACAGUGAGCAUGCAAACGAUGUGGAUCACACGGUGAUACAAAGGCAUUUUGUAGCCUUUUUUUUGCAACUAGGCAGGUCCCCUUAUCCAAGUUGUUUUGAUUGACUUGCCAACCAAGUAGUAUAACUGUUUCUGGGUGGCAGUUUUGUUAAUUUGACAAAUAUGUUUGUUCUUUUUCUGUUUUGCAGAGACAAAUUGGUUGGUGAAGGAGAGGUGCCUGGCAGUGAAACAAAGGGUUCUCCAAAUAGGACCUUUCGGCGGGACUCAAAACGGGGUGCUAAGCAGGAACCAUGUGGCACUGAUAAUGACGGGGAUGGAGAGGAUGAUGACGUGUCCCAGAGAGUAUCUAAAGCAUAUGAAAAAGAACUUGGGCCAGCGUGAAGGCGAGUGGAUGAUGCUUUUCGAUUUUGGUCUCUGGAAUCAACGGACUUUCCUAAUCAAGAGAUGGGACAAAAAAUUUCCUAAUACAGCCGGCUGCCGAGGAGCGCUAGCGAGCGCACGGCUGCUCGCUAGACGCGU
This is a long non-coding RNA of Triticum aestivum (bread wheat), 545 nucleotides long. RefSeq lists it as uncharacterized. NCBI's taxonomy places the organism in Eukaryota, Viridiplantae, Streptophyta, Magnoliopsida, Poales, Poaceae. The transcript has 3 exons. The record is from RefSeq and is a predicted model, not a curated record.